Molecule: ribosomal RNA, 390 nt
Filed under: uncultured bacterium
Lineage: Bacteria
Description: bacterial SSU rRNA
Rfam family: Bacterial small subunit ribosomal RNA
Source: RNAcentral
GAUGAACGCUGGCGGCGUGCUUAACACAUGCAAGUCGAACGUGAGGGUGCAGCGAUGUGCCUGAAAGUGGCGAACGGGUGAGUAACACGUAGAUGACCUGCCCUGGAGUGGGGGAUAACCAUUGGAAACGGUGGCUAAUACCGCAUACAUCCGGAGAACUGGGAAGUUUUCUGGGGAAAGCUCUGGUGCUUCAGGAGGGGUCUGCGUCCGAUUAGCUAGUUGGUGGGGUAAAGGCUCACCAAGGCGACGAUCGGUAGCUGGUCUGAGAGGACGAUCAGCCACACGGGAACUGAGACACGGUCCCGACUCCUACGGGGGGCAGCAGUGAGGAAUAUUGGGCAAUGGGCGGAAGCCUGACCCAGCAACGCCGCGUGGAGGAAGACGGCCUUC